GGAUCGUAAAGCUCUGUUGUUAGGGAAGAACAAGUGCCGUUCAAAUAGGGCGGCACCUUGACGGUACCUAACCAGAAAGCCACGGCUAACUACGUGCCAGCAGCCGCGGUAAUACGUAGGUGGCAAGCGUUGUCCGGAAUUAUUGGGCGUAAAGGGCUCGCAGGCGGUUUCUUAAGUCUGAUGUGAAAGCCCCCGGCUCAACCGGGGAGGGUCAUUGGAAACUGGGGAACUUGAGUGCAGAAGAGGAGAGUGGAAUUCCACGUGUAGCGGUGAAAUGCGUAGAGAUGUGGAGGAACACCAGUGGCGAAGGCGACUCUCUGGUCUGUAACUGACGCUGAGGAGCGAAAGCGUGGGGAGCGAACAGGAUUAGAUACCCUGGUAGUCCACGCCGUAAACGAUGAGUGCUAAGUGUUAGGGGGUUUCCGCCCCUUAGUGCUGCAGCUAACGCAUUAAGCACUCCGCCUGGGGAGUACGGUCGCAAGACUGAAACUCAAAGGAAUUGACGGGGGCCCGCACAAGCGGUGGAGCAUGUGGUUUAAUUCGAAGCAACGCGAAGAACCUUACCAGGUCUUGACAUCCUCUGACAAUCCUAGAGAUAGGACGUCCCCUUCGGGGGCAGAGUGACAGGUGGUGCAUGGUUGUCGUCAGCUCGUGUCGUGAGAUGUUGGGUUAAGUCCCGCAACGAGCGCAACCCUUGAUCUUAGUUGCCAGCAUUCAGUUGGGCACUCUAAAGGUGACUGCCGGUGACAAACCCGGAGGAAGGUGGGGAUGACGUCAAAUCAUCAUGUCCCUUAUGACCUGGGCUACACACGUGCUACAAUGGACAGAACAAGGGCAGCGAAACCGCGAGGUUAAGCCAAUCCCACAAUCUGUUCCUCAGUUCGGAUCGCAGUCUUGCAACUCGACUGCCGUGAAGCUUGAAUCGCUAGUAUCCGCGGAUCAGCAUGCCGCUGGUGAAUACGUUCCCGGGCUUGGUCAACACCCUCCGGUCUACACCACUAGAAGUUUUGUACCACUCGAAGUUCGUGACGCAAACCUUUUAUGGAUCCAGCCGCCCAAUGUGGGACAGAUUGAUUGGUGCGUAAGUCGUUAACAAGGUAACCG
RNAcentral lists this ribosomal RNA (1104 nucleotides) under Bacillus subtilis. RNAcentral's name for it is "bacterial SSU rRNA". It matches the Rfam family "Bacterial small subunit ribosomal RNA", at positions 420 to 1502 of the family's 1533-position model. The record is from RNAcentral. Lineage: Bacteria; Bacillati; Bacillota; Bacilli; Caryophanales; Bacillaceae.